ACGGCUCAGUAACACGUGAUCAACUUGCCCUAUGGAGAAAAAUAACCUCGGGAAACUGAGGAUAAUAUUUCAUAGUUGAAUAGGCUUGGAAAAGUUUUUCAAUUAAAGGGAUAAGAUAAAUGGUUCUUAUUUGCCAUAGGAUAGGAUCGUGCUCGAUUAUGGUAGUUGGUGAGGUAAUGGCUCACCAAGCCGAUAAUCGAUAGGGGCCGUGAGAGCGGGAGCCCCGAGAUGGGUACUGAGACAACGACCCAGACCUUACGAGGUGCAGCAGGCGCGGAACCUCCGCAAUACACGAAAGUGUGACGGGGUUACCCAAAGUGUUCAUAAUUGAACUGUGGUAGGUGAGUAAUGUCCCCUACUAGAAAGGAGAGGGCAAGGCUGGUGCCAGCCGCCGCGGUAAAACCAGCUCUUCAAGUGGUCGGGAUGAUUAUUGGGCUUAAAGUGUCCGUAGCCGGUUUAGUAAGUCCCUGGUAAAAUCGGGUAGCUUAACUAUCUGUAUGCUAGGAAUACUGCUAUACUAGAGGACGGGAGAGGUCUGAGGUACUACAGGGGUAGGGGUGAAAUCUUAUAAUCCUUGUAGGACCACCAGUGGCGAAGGCGUCAGACUGGAACGUGCCUGACGGUGAGGGACGAAAGCCAGGGGAGCGAACCGGAUUAGAUACCCGGGUAGUCCUGGCCGUAAACGAUGCAUACUAGGUGAUGGCACGGCCAUGAGCCGUGUCAGUGCCGUAGGGAAACCGUUAAGUGUGCCGCCUGGGAAGUACGGUCGCAAGGCUAAAACUUAAAGGAAUUGGCGGGGGAGCACCACAAGGGGUGAAGCCUGCGGUUCAAUUGGAUUCAACGCCGGA
This 848-nucleotide ribosomal RNA is filed under the name uncultured archaeon. Its description in RNAcentral is "bacterial SSU rRNA". It matches the Rfam family "Archaeal small subunit ribosomal RNA", at positions 85 to 922 of the family's 1478-position model. The record is from RNAcentral.